This 406-nucleotide ribosomal RNA is filed under the name uncultured bacterium. RNAcentral describes it as "partial 16S ribosomal RNA". It matches the Rfam family "Bacterial small subunit ribosomal RNA", at positions 30 to 526 of the family's 1533-position model. The record is from RNAcentral.
AUUGAACGCUGGCGGCAGGCCUAACACAUGCAAGUCGAACGAGUGGCGGACGGGUGAGUAAUGUCUGGGAAACUGCCUGAUGGAGGGGGAUAACUACUGGAAACGGUAGCUAAUACCGCAUACCAUCGGAUGUGCCCAGAUGGGAUUAGCUGGUAGGUGGGGUAAAGGCUCACAUAGGCGACGAUCCCUCGCUGGUCUGAGAGGAUGACCAGCCACACUGGAACUGAGACACGGUCCAGACUCCUACGAGAGGCAGAAGUGGGGAAUAUUGCACAAUGGGCGCAAGCCUGAUGCAGCCAUGCCGCGUGUAUGAAGAAGGCCUUCGGGUUGUAAAGUACUUUCAGCGAGGAGGCGUUACCCGCAGAAGAAGCACCGGCUAACUCCGUGCCAGCAGCCGCGGUAAUAC